RNAcentral lists this transfer RNA (33 nucleotides) under Orobanche cicerbitae. RNAcentral describes it as "partial tRNA-Phe". The record is from RNAcentral. Lineage: Eukaryota; Viridiplantae; Streptophyta; Magnoliopsida; Lamiales; Orobanchaceae.
GUCGGGAUAGCUCAGUGUAGAGCAGAGGACUGA